CAGGACGAACGCUGGCGGCGUGCCUAAUACAUGCAAGUCGAACGGUCUUUCUAUGGAAGCUUGCUUCCACUGAGAAGAUAGUGGCGAACGGGUGAGUAACACGUGGGUAACCUGCCCAUAAGAGGGGGAUAACAUCCGGAAACGGGUGCUAAUACCGCAUAGUUUCUUGAUCGCAUGAUUGAGAAAGGAAAGACGGCCUUUGUGCUGUCGCUUAUGGAUGGACCCGCGGCGUAUUAGUUAGUUGGUGAGGUAACGGCUCACCAAGACGAUGAUACGUAGCCGACCUGAGAGGGUGAUCGGCCACAUUGGGACUGAGACACGGCCCAAACUCCUACGGGAGGCAGCAGUAGGGAAUCUUCCGCAAUGGACGAAAGUCUGACGGAGCAACGCCGCGUGAGUGAAAGAAGGUUUUCGGAUCGUAAAACUCUGUUGUCAGAGAAGAACAAGUUGGAGAGUAACUGCUCCAGCCUUGACGGUAUCUGACCAGAAAGCCACGGCUAACUACGUGCCAGCCGCCGC
This 519-nucleotide ribosomal RNA is filed under the name uncultured bacterium. Its description in RNAcentral is "bacterial SSU rRNA". It matches the Rfam family "Bacterial small subunit ribosomal RNA", at positions 25 to 518 of the family's 1533-position model. The record is from RNAcentral.